UGGCUCAGUUGGUAAAGCACGAGACUCUUGAUCUUGGGGGCAUGGGUUCAAGCCCCAU
Molecule: transfer RNA, 58 nt
Filed under: Felis catus (domestic cat)
Lineage: Eukaryota; Metazoa; Chordata; Mammalia; Carnivora; Felidae
Also listed under: 3 other names
Rfam family: tRNA
About the family: Transfer RNA (tRNA) molecules are approximately 80 nucleotides in length. Their secondary structure includes four short double-helical elements and three loops (D, anti-codon, and T loops).
Source: Rfam by way of RNAcentral